RNAcentral lists this long non-coding RNA (1046 nucleotides) under Erythranthe guttata (spotted monkey flower). Its description in RNAcentral is "long non-coding RNA (EGUT_LNC000437)". The record is from RNAcentral. Lineage: Eukaryota; Viridiplantae; Streptophyta; Magnoliopsida; Lamiales; Phrymaceae.
AAAAAAAAAAAAAAAAUUGGUGUAGAUCAACCUUAAUCGACUACCAAAGCAUAGUCGAUUAAGAAUCUGCUAAUAAAAAUAACAAAUCACAACUGCAAAAAAAAUGCAAAAUCAACUACAUUUUUCAAAAACAAAAAAUAUACCAACAUUAUAAUUGAUUUAUACAAUUGGAAUCAAUAAACAAAAAAUCCAAAAAAAAAAAAAAAAAAAAAAACGGAGUUGAUCAACCUUAAUCGACUACCAGAGCAUAGUCGAUUACCUUAAUCGACUAUUGAACAUGUACAUAGUCGAUUAAGAUUCCAGCCUGCGCGAAUUUCUCUACACGCGCCUUCCUCCGCCCGAUCCACCAAAAAACCCUAAAUCUGCCUCCCCAUCGUCACCACACCGCCGCCACAACCAAUCUCUAACAAGAAUAAAAUAAAUAAUUCAUACAAAAAAACACAAAUUAGCAUUUCAAUGUCAAAAAAAAAAAAAAAAAACAGAAACGAUUCAAGGUAUUGACAACCCACUGCGUCCUCGACGACGAGCACCAGUCAUCAGCUUCAACGUCUCGGUGGAAACCACCGCUGCCAACUACAGAUCCGUCACCACCCUUAGGAGUUUAAUGCAUCUUCAUCGUCUUAUUUUGAUCCAUAAACGUUGACAGCAUCGUAUGCUCCUGUUUUAUGAUAUAGAGCCUCCAACUUACAGUCAUCUACCAACCGGAGAAAAUGAUCGAUCUGUUGAAGCUUGUUAGUUAAUUACCGCAGCAGUAAACAAUUAACAAUUAUGUUAACUGUGUCGAUUUAAUAAACAAUAUCAAAAGCCUAAGAGGAACAGGCCAAAAACUAAUGCAGUAAACCACCCUUCACACGGCGGCGGGAGGUGGCGACAAACACUCUUCCACCACCACCACCGCCGGUCGACGUUUUGCUUUUCCUCCGAAUUUCAGUCGAGAAGAGAAGAGAGAAGAGAGAAGAUGAGAAAAUGAGAAAAUGAGAAGAAAGAAAUGCAAAUGAAAUGGGUUAGUGUUUUGAAACGUGAAAAUGAGAUUUAAUAUUAAUAAG